CAGUUCACAGUGUCAGCUCGCACUUUGUCACUCGUAGAGACUUCUCGCAUUUUGCCACUUCAACAUGUGAAAGAGUUGUUGCAUGAUUGGCCAAUUUCUAAUAAUUUGGAACAAAAAAUUACCCAUAAUCAAAAUAAGGCAAAAUACACUUAUGGGAAGAGUUUUAGUGCCUUGCCUUAUGCCAAGUCUAUAUUCAACAUGUAAUCACUAAAUUUUUUCCGGGAUUAAUUUCGUGUUUAAAAAAAAAAGAAAUUUUUUAAAAUUUUUUAUUACAUUUCAACCCUAAACUUUUUGAAAUUACAUUUUGACCCCUUAACUUUCUUAAAAUUACAUUUUAACCUCUAAACUUUCUCAAAAUUAUGUUUAAACCCCAAAAGUUUUGCUGCCGUUACAUAUUGGUCCCUAUGGCAGUCUCUGACGCAAGUUGCACCUGCAACUCGCGGCGGCCGACCUAGGCCCUCCCUAGCCCCCUGCUACCUGCAAAAAGAAAGAGAAAUCAGCUAUAAAAAGGGGUUUAAACCCCAAAAUCAAGGGGAGGAGAUUUCAAAAAAAAAACAAAAAAAGAGAGAAAGCUUUGCUAAAAAGAGAGAAAGAAAGGAGAAGGGAGAAAAAGGAAGAGACGGCGGCGGCACCGUGGCGUCGGCGACAGCAAGCAACGGUGGAGGCUAGACUUUGAAGAAGAAGAAGAAGGAAGAAGAAGGAAGAAGAAAGAAGAAAGAAGAAAGAAAGAAGAAAAGAGGAAGAAGAAGGAACAAAAAAAAAAGGAAAAAAAAAUUAAAUCGGGCCGACCCGACCCGAAUCCGGCC
This 806-nucleotide long non-coding RNA is filed under the name Gossypium raimondii (Peruvian cotton). Its description in RNAcentral is "long non-coding RNA (GRAI_LNC010181)". The record is from RNAcentral. Lineage: Eukaryota; Viridiplantae; Streptophyta; Magnoliopsida; Malvales; Malvaceae.